This 1249-nucleotide ribosomal RNA is filed under the name Stemonitopsis hyperopta. Its description in RNAcentral is "SSU rRNA". It matches the Rfam family "Eukaryotic small subunit ribosomal RNA", at positions 62 to 1108 of the family's 1831-position model. Lineage: Eukaryota; Evosea; Eumycetozoa; Stemonitida; Stemonitidae. The record is from RNAcentral.
AGGUGACGGUCUCUCUGAAUCUGCGUACGGCUCCGCAAACCAGUUGCAAUACAUAGCUCGCUCAGCCGGGCGGCCUCGGCCGCUCGGCACCGCAAAAAUACGGAUAUCCCUGGUAAUUCUGGGGCUAAUACAUGGCAAAAAUAACGCGUACGGCCUGUGCGGGGGUGGUCUCACGACUGCCCUAUUCCAAACGCACGGUGCUGUGCCGGGGUGUGCGACACUCAAAACCAAGCUCGGGUACAAAAACACAUAAUCGGGACUGAACGCACGCUACGACCUGCUAGCCUCACGGCAACCGGGCGCGACCGCGAAGGGAGGGGUGGCCAGCUUGAUUGCUCGGUCCGCUACCGAACGGAGCUACGCGCUCGGGCAGGCACGGGCCACGGCUUCUGACCUAUCAAUUAGAAUGCGGUAAAAUGGGCUGCAAUGAUGGCAACGGGUACAGAGGAUAAGGGUUCGAUCCUGGAGAGUGGGCCUGAGAGAUUGCUCCUACUUCUAAGGAAGGCAGCAGGCGCGCAAAGUUCCCCUUGGGCGUACAGCUCGAGGGCGUUAGGGGAAAUAUGAAUGGCCGUCAUUAUUGGCGGCCAAUUCAAAUGGGUCUGUCGUAAACUGACUCUCGAGUAACAAUUGGAGGACAAGUCUGGUGCCAGCACCCGCGGUAAUUCCAGCUCCAAUAGCAUACGUUAAAGUUGUUGCGGUUAAAACGCUCGUAGUCGCGGUUGGGUCGUCGGACGUUUUCGCGGAUAGAGGCGCGCUCGUGUAACAGCGGGCGUGCUGAUUGAGGCGGGCUCGAAUGUCGGUCCAACCAAGGUGCCCGUGCGCGUACGGCUUCGGUCGGUUACAGGGGCCCUGCUUCACGGCGGGGCUCUGGCGUGCGGGCUCGCUCUUGCGGGGACCAAACUGGCGUGAUCAAGGCACGGUUUCCUAGCCCCUUGCACAGCUCAGCCUCGCAUGAAUGAAGCCGGGUCGCUGCACGUCCCUCCUGGGCUCCGUGCGGCGGUCCUAAGCGCACCUAAAGGGUUGUUUCCAGGGCGGCCGAAUUGUGGGGCGAGUGGUGAAAUACGUUGACCCUUGCAAGUCGACCAAAGGCGAAAGCAGCCGCCCGGGGCCUUCCCGUUGAUCAAGAGCGAAAGUUGAGGGCUCGAAGACGAUCAGAUACCGUCGUAGUCUUAACUAUAAAUGUUACUGACCAGGUAUAGGACGAUGUCCAUACCGACUCCUUCCGCGCCUUGGGGAAACUAGAGUCUAU